UUUUGAUUGAACAAUAGAUAACUCGUAUCAUGUUAUAUGAUUGGUCCAUGACAAUCAAAACAUGAUAUGUGAUAGUCAUCGUCCAAUCAAAAUGUGACACGUGACUGUCAACAUUC
This is a non-coding RNA of Glycine soja, 116 nucleotides long. The record is from Rfam. Lineage: Eukaryota; Viridiplantae; Streptophyta; Magnoliopsida; Fabales; Fabaceae.